This is a long non-coding RNA of Brassica napus (rape), 2722 nucleotides long. RefSeq lists it as uncharacterized. The record is from RefSeq and is a predicted model, not a curated record. Lineage: Eukaryota; Viridiplantae; Streptophyta; Magnoliopsida; Brassicales; Brassicaceae. The transcript is spliced from 3 exons.
AUAUAUUAGAUUAUGGUAUAUAUUUAAAAGUAACUAAGUUAAUUGUAUGAGAAAUAAUAUAAAUUUAAAUAACUCCAACUAUGAAUUUUGUUUUGUUAGUAGAUUUUUUAGUGAUUCUGUUGUAAUAAUAUAGAUAUAAUUCCAUGUAUAUUCUUUCAUCCACCAUAUAUAUAUUCACCAAAAUCAAUUCAAACAAACAACAAACAUCCUUACAGUCUUACCCUUGAGUUUUAUAUCUCUUUGAACAAAAAAACUAUAUCAGAAAUGGCCCAAAAAAUGUGUUUGGUGAUGAUGAUGGUGUUGGUAUUGGUAACAGUGGAAUGUGAUCUAAAAGCAAGUAACAUCCCUUUCUCUCCCUCACCAGCGUCUCUCCUAGAGGAUGAAGUAAUACUGCCACAAGAAGGUGACACUACUAUCUGUUUCAGAAAUUGUACCCUAAAAUGUGGCGCUAACAUGGAUUGCAUGCACAACUGUUUGAAGAAUUGCUCCUACUAGGACAACUCUUUUUUUAAUUUAUCAUAUAAAUAACUCACAUUUCUGAUGAUGAUCCAUAAGUUUUUCAUACGGCCAUUUGAGUUUAUAUCAAUGUAUUAAGAUUAAUCGAUUACAAGUAAAAUUUUCGUUAUAUAUUGUCAAAUUUCAUGAUGGAAAAUACAUAAACUACACGACCAUACCAUCGAUCGACCGAUAGCAAGGCAUCAACCAGAUGAAUACGCAGAUAAUUCAUAACUUUUGGAAAAGUAAUCACUGGCUACAUUAAUUAUUAACCACGACAUGGUUAGCCAUGCAGACUAAACUUAUAUAUCUAGCAGCAUGAAAUAUAUGUUAUACAAGACAUUAUUCUACAACUUAAUGAUGUUACCUAAUUAACACCAUAAGCUUAAUUUUAUUAAUCCAAAAAGUGAUGUGGACGUUAAUUCCUUUUAAUCUUCAUGUUUGAUCAAUUAAAAUUCUAUCCACUCGACUGUAACUUAACUAAAAUUUGACCCGUCACGAUAAAGGGGAAAAUCAGAACAUUAGUGUUUCAAUUCAAAUUAGUGAGAGAGAAAGGAAGUUGGUGAAAUCUUGUGGGGUUAUUGACCAAAAUCGAGAGAGAUGUUAAUGCACCCCGAAAUCGAUUAACUGCUCUCUUUCUCUCUCUCUCUCGUUUUGGUCAACCCCCCCCCCCAAGAUUUCACAAAUUCCUUUCUCUCUCACCGGUUUUAAUUGAACGCUUAAUUUUUUUCGAUUUUCCCUUUUUGUCGCGAUAUAGAGACAACAUAUCCGAUGUUUAUAUAUAUAAUUUUGGGCCGAUUAUAUAAUUUAUGGCCAAAUUUUAUUUUGUUUUAUUAGAUUAUAUUGAGUCAAAGUUUAGUUAAAUUAUGUUCAGAUGGAUCAUAUUUUAAUUGAUUAACGGGAGAAUUAAAUAGAGUUUAAUGUCUCCACGUCCACGUCACUUCUUAGAAAUUAAACUCGUAAUGUUAACCACAUAAUAUCAUUAAGUUGGUUGUCGUCAUGCACAACAUAUACUUCAUAUAGUUAGGUAUACAUUAGUUUAGUGUGCAUGGCUAACCAUGUGGUGGUCAAUACUUCACGUUAUAGCAAUCAUUUUUCCUAACUUUCUUUUUGCUGUAUAUGAUAAGAAGCCAAGAUAUAUCACCAUUCUAUUUUCAGAAAUGGACCAAUUAUGAACAAGAGUAGGUAACGUGGAGUUUUCAGAUUAUAAAUAAAUAACUAAAAGUGCUGGUCUAACACUUCUAAAAUGCAUUAAUCAAAAUUUAACAACAUGUCUUUUGUAUUUUUUAAAUCUAGUAUCAUAUAUAUGGGCCAACGAAUUUUUUUAAACCUAUAUAAAUUAACAUCAGAAUAAGUCAUUAAGCCCAUUUUAUAAAUUUCAAAACUCUUCAUUAAAAAUCCAAACACAGAUUUUUUUCAGUGAGAUCACAAGUGCCGAAGUUGACACUUUAGGAAGAGAUGAAACUUUCAUUAUAUAUAUGAUUUUAUUCCAAUUAGUAUAUGGCAUAAAAAGAAAAAAUAUGUGAAAAUUACUAUUAUUCAAACAAAAAUAAAUAAGGUCAAACAAAAACAGUAGAUGCAAUUUACUAGAGGUGAAUCAAUACAAAGACUAUAAAUAAAGUAAUAAAUAAUUCCAUAUAAUCUUUCCUCCAUCGUAUAUAUAAACCCACACAAGUCAAACAAAACAAACAACAAACAUCAAUCUUACAUUCUUACUACUCUUGAGUUUUAAACCUGUUUGAACGAAAAAAAGUUCUAUCAGAAAUGACUCAAAAAAUUUGCAUGGUGAUGAUGAUGGUGAUGGUAUUGGUAACAAUGGAAUGUGCUACUAUUAAUCAAGCAACAAAAGGCUACGGAUCAUGCAUCACCGAAUGCGUUGAAAAGUGCGGCACAGAUGAGCAUUGCCGAUAUCAUUGCAGAUGGAUUUGCCCCAAACCUCACUUACCACAGGUUAUCCUAAAGGAUGAAACAAUAUUGCCACAACAAGGUAGAAACGCUAUCUGCUACAGAAACUGUCUCAUCAAAUGUGGCAAUAACGAAGCUUGCAUGCACGCUUGUUUGGAGAAAUGCCUCCAGUAAAACUGCUAUUUAUAAUUAUCAUACAAAAUACUCAAAAAAAUUAUGAUGGUGCAUGUGUUUUACAUACGAAUUUGAGUUUAUAUCAAUGUAUUACGUUUCUUAACUUCGUUCCAGAAAAAAAAUCGAAUAUUAGUAACAAAGUUUUGGU